Molecule: ribosomal RNA, 488 nt
Filed under: uncultured bacterium
Lineage: Bacteria
Description: partial 16S ribosomal RNA
Rfam family: Bacterial small subunit ribosomal RNA
Source: RNAcentral
AGUGAACGCUGGCGGUAGGCCUAACACAUGCAAGUCGAACGGCAGCACAGUAAGAGCUUGCUCUUACGGGUGGCGAGUGGCGGACGGGUGAGGAAUACAUCGGAAUCUACUUUUUCGUGGGGGAUAACGUAGGGAAACUUACGCUAAUACCGCAUACGACCUACGGGUGAAAGCAGGGGAUCUUCGGACCUUGCGCGAUUGAAUGAGCCGAUGUCGGAUUAGCUAGUUGGCGGGGUAAAGGCCCACCAAGGCGACGAUCCGUAGCUGGUCUGAGAGGAUGAGCAGCCCCGCAGGUACGACGCGACGCACCAUCCUACUAGAGGCAGCAGCGGUGAGGAUUAGUGAUCAUGGGAAGCAGCCUCCUGCCGCCCCGCCGGGGUGAAGAAGGCCUUCGGGUUGUAAGGCCCUUUUGUUGGGAAAGAAAAGCAGCAGGUUAAUACCCCGCUGUUCUGACGGUACCCAAAGAAUAAGCACCGGCUAACUUCGUG